This 330-nucleotide long non-coding RNA is filed under the name Nicotiana benthamiana. RNAcentral describes it as "long non-coding RNA (NBEN_LNC011494)". Lineage: Eukaryota; Viridiplantae; Streptophyta; Magnoliopsida; Solanales; Solanaceae. The record is from RNAcentral.
CACUCUAAUGCGCCUGCAGUACCCAAGGUCUCUAUGUUGCUCUGAAUGCCCCAGCUCCCCUAGCUCUAUGUUACGAUCCCCCUCCUCGUUAAGUAAGUUCCGAAAGUACGCCUGCCACCUCUGCUUGAUUUGAGAUUCCCCCAUCAGAACUCUACCAUCCUCGCCCUUGAUACAACUAACUUGGUCAAGAUCACGUGCCUUCCUUUCCCUUGCUAAAUUUAGCUAACCGAAAUAACUUCUUGUCCCUGCCUCUCUCCCCUAGUUCCUCGUACAUGCGACCAAACGCCGCAUUUUUAGCUUCCGUGACUGCCAUCUUUGCUUCUUUCCUUG